GUCAAACUCGAAAUUUUUUAGCAUAGUGAGGCUUAACUUGGCGUGAUGUUUUGAUAAUAUAUUCGCCUAUAUUUACAAAAAAAAUAAAAAAUAGUUAGCAGAGCAGUAAAUCAAAAAAGUGAUUUGUAUUACUUGUUUGUAUAGUAUGUUGACUUUGGUGUCUAUUUCAAACCUUAUGGCAUUUUUCAAGGAUGAGCAUAAGAGCAUUAAAAGGGGAGAAGACCACUAUAACUCUGGCCAUGUGGAGAAGUGCAGGGGCAAUUUACCUGUUUAGUCUGGGCCAGCAUGAGGGAUAAAGUUUUUCCUGUGUCCUCGAUCUGCUGUAGUCUACAACUGGACUCUUGCGCUCGGAUCACACUGGCACAGGUUAUCCAUGUACCGGAAGGCCUGAGGGAUGCACUCUGUUGAACUGGAAAACAAAGAGACGUGUCCGGAUCUUCCUCUUCUGCCAUGGUGGACGAGCACCUUUUCUGAUGGGUAAUAGCUCUUUCAAACAUGCCUGGGAGAGGGAGUGAGGAAUAACCAUUGACAUUUCAUUGUUGAAAUUCAACGCCCACAAAUACACCGCUACGAUAAUUGAUGAUCCAGGCCAUCGCGAUUUCAUCAAGAACAUGAUCACUGGGUCAUCACAG
Long non-coding RNA from Oncorhynchus tshawytscha (Chinook salmon), 632 nucleotides. The record is from Ensembl. NCBI's taxonomy places the organism in Eukaryota, Metazoa, Chordata, Actinopteri, Salmoniformes, Salmonidae.